AACGAACGCUGGCGGCGUGCCUAACACAUGCAAGUCGAACGGGGAUAGAUAGCUUGCUAUUUAUUCUAGUGGCGCACGGGUGAGUAACGCGUAGAUAAUCUGCCUUGGACUCUGGGAUAACAUUUCGAAAGGGGUGCUAAUACCGGAUAAGCCCACGGGGACGUAAGUUCUUGCGGGAAAAGGGGGCCUCUGCAUAUGCUCUUGAUCCAAGAUGAGUCUGCGUACCAUUAGCUAGUUGGUGGGGUAAUGGCCUACCAAGGCAACGAUGGGUAGCUGGUCUGAGAGGAUGACCAGCCACACUGGGACUGGAACACGGCCCAGACUCCUACGGGAGGCAGCAGUGGGGAAUAUUGCGCAAUGGGGGAAACCCUGACGCAGCGACGCCGCGUGAGCGAUGAAGGCCUUAGGGUUGUAAACCUCUUUUCAUAGGGAAGAAUA
RNAcentral lists this ribosomal RNA (438 nucleotides) under uncultured bacterium. Its description in RNAcentral is "bacterial SSU rRNA". It matches the Rfam family "Bacterial small subunit ribosomal RNA", at positions 29 to 451 of the family's 1533-position model. The record is from RNAcentral.